AGGACCGAACCCACAUCUGUUGAAAAAGAUCGGGAUGAGCUGUGCCUAGGGGUGAAAGGCCAAUCAAACUCGGAGAUAGCUGGUUCUCUGCGAAAUCUAUUUAGGUAGAGCGUCAUCCGAAUACCCUCGGGGGUAGAGCACUGGAUGGGUAAUGGGGCCCCACAGGCUUACUGAUCCUAACCAAACUCCGAAUACCGAGGAGUACUGGAUGGCAGACACACGGCGAAUGCUAACGUCCGUCGUGGAGAGGGAAACAACCCUGACCUCCGGCUAAGGCCCCUAAUUCAUGGCUAAGUGGGAAAGCAGGUGAGACGACCAAAACAACCAGGAGGUUGGCUUAGAAGCAGCCAUCCUUUAAAGAUAGCGUAACAGCUCACUGGUCUAAAUAAGUUGUCUUGCGGCGAAGAUGUAACGGGGCUCAAGCCAUGAGCCGAAGCCGAGGAUGCAUUUAUUGCAUGGUAGCAGAGCGUAGUGUGACAUAGUUCCAUGUGUCCUUAUCGUCCCUCGGGACGUAUUGGACACAAGGAGCUUUCUGUGAAGCCGGCGCGUGAGCGAUCCGGUGGAGAGAUCACUAGUGAGAAUGAUGACAUGAGUAGCGACAAAGAGUGUGAGAGACACUCUCGCCGAAAGUCCAAGGGUUCCUGCUUAAAGCUAAUCUGAGCAGGGUAAGCCGACCCCUAAGGCGAGGCCGAAAGGCGUAGUCGAUGGGAACCAGGUUAAUAUUCCUGGGCCAGAUGGAAGUGACGGAUCGCAGGGGUAGUUCAUCCUUAUCGGAUUGGAUGGGCUGCUGAGCGGUCCCUGGAAAUAGCUCCAUCAUCAGAUCGUACCCUAAACCGACACAGGUGGACAGGUAGAGAAUACCAAGGCGCUUGAGAGAACUAUGUUGAAGGAACUCGGCAAAAUACCUCCGUAAGUUCGCGAGAAGGAGGCCCGGUUCCUAGGCAACUAGGGGCUGGGGGCACAAACCAGGGGGUGGCGACUGUUUAUUAAAAACACAGGGCUCUGC
Molecule: ribosomal RNA, 1006 nt
Filed under: Alcanivorax sp.
Lineage: Bacteria; Pseudomonadati; Pseudomonadota; Gammaproteobacteria; Oceanospirillales; Alcanivoracaceae
Description: partial 23S ribosomal RNA
Rfam family: Bacterial large subunit ribosomal RNA
Source: RNAcentral